AGGUUUUCGGACCUAGAGACCGGCGCACGGGUGCGUAACGCGUAUGCAAUCUACCUUUUACAGAGGGAUAGCCCAGAGAAAUUUGGAUUAAUACCUCAUAGUAUUAUUGAAUGGCAUCAUUUAAUAAUUAAAGUUCCAACGGUAAAAGAUGAGCAUGCGUCCCAUUAGCUAGAUGGUAAGGUAACGGCUUACCAUGGCAACGAUGGGUAGGGGUCCUGAGAGGGAGAUCCCCCACACUGGUACUGAGACACGGACCAGACUCCUACGGGAGGCAGCAGUGAGGAAUAUUGGUCAAUGGGCGCAAGCCUGAACCAGCCAUGCCGCGUGCAGGAUGAAGCAUCUAUGGUGUGUAAACUGCUUUUGUACGAGAAGAAACACUCCUUCGUGAAGGAGCUUGACGGUAUCGUAAGAAUAAGGACCGGCUAACUCCGUGCCAGCAGCCGCGGUAAUACGGAGGGUCCAAGCGUUAUCCGGAAUCAUUGGGUUUAAAGGGUCCGUAGGCGGUUUUGUAAGUCAGUGGUGAAAGCCCAUCGCUCAACGGUGGAACGGCCAUUGAUACUGCAAGACUUGAAUUACUAGGAAGUAACUAGAAUAUGUAGUGUAGCGGUGAAAUGCUUAGAUAUUACAUGGAAUACCAAUUGCGAAGGCAGGUUACUACUAGUGGAUUGACGCUGAUGGACCAAAGCGUGGGGAGCGAACAGGAUUAGAUACCCUGGUAGUC
Molecule: ribosomal RNA, 721 nt
Filed under: uncultured bacterium
Lineage: Bacteria
Description: bacterial SSU rRNA
Rfam family: Bacterial small subunit ribosomal RNA
Source: RNAcentral